This 1482-nucleotide ribosomal RNA is filed under the name Triticum aestivum (bread wheat). RNAcentral describes it as "partial small subunit ribosomal RNA". Lineage: Eukaryota; Viridiplantae; Streptophyta; Magnoliopsida; Poales; Poaceae. The record is from RNAcentral.
AUGAAGGAGAUGAUGGUGGGGUCGGUGGCGCCGGUCGGCCCGGUCGGGAGGUGGGGGGCGGCGCCGCCGCAGGAGCUGCUGGAGCGGAUGAAGGACUACGGCCAGGAGGGCGCCUUCGCGCUCUGGGACGAGCUCUCGCCCGAGGACCGCGACCUCCUCGUCCGGGACAUCGAGAGUCUAGAUCUUUCGAGGAUUGACCGGAUCAUUCGACGCUCUAUGGGAUCACAAGGAGGCUAUCUGGCGCCCGCCGAGCCCGUGCCGGAAUCCAGCGUGUCGAGGGUGGAGGAGAGGUCUCCAGAGGACAAAGAACGGUGGUGGAAGAAGGGGCUGAGAGCCAUCUCCGAGGGGAAGCUGGCCGUUGUCCUUUUAGCUGGUGGCCAGGGGACUCGGCUUGGAAGCUCAGAUCCUAAGGGGUGUUUCAGUAUUGGACUUCCAUCUGGAAAAUCACUUUUCCAACUCCAAGCGGAACGCAUUUUGUGUAUUCAAAAGUUGGCUGCUCAGUCCAGUGAUAGUCCAAGAAAUACUUUACCAAUCCACUGGUACAUAAUGACCAGCCCCUUCAACGAUGAUGUCACACGCAAAUUCUUUGAAAGCCGUAAAUAUUUUGGCUUAGAGGCUGACCAGGUGACCUUUUUCCAACAAGGCACCCUUCCAUGUGUUUCUGACGAUGGCAGAUUUAUUAUGGAGACUCCAUACAAGGUAGCCAAGGCACCUGAUGGAAAUGGAGGAGUUUAUGCCGCUCUGAAGUCUAAGAAGUUGCUUGACGACAUGUCUUCACGGGGUGUAAAGUAUGUAGAUUGCUACGGAGUUGAUAACGUAUUGGUUCGUGUUGCAGAUCCAACGUUCCUAGGGUACUUUAUAGAAAAGGGUGUAUCUUCUGCUGCGAAGGUUGUUAGGAAGGCUUAUCCACAAGAGAAUGUUGGAGUAUUUGUUCAAAGAGGUUGUGGUGGACCUCUUUCCGUGGUCGAGUAUAGUGAAAUGGAUGCGGCUAUGACUACUGAAAUUAAUCAAUCAACAGGGCGCCUUCGUUAUUGUUGGAGCAAUGUAUGCUUGCAUAUGUUCAGUUUGGAAUUUCUGAAUCAAGUGGCAAACAGCCUUGAAAAGGACAGCGUGUAUCAUCUUGCACAGAAGAAGAUACCUUCGAUUCAUGGGUAUACAAUGGGCCUGAAGCUUGAGCAGUUCAUAUUCGAUGCAUUCAAUUACUCCCCGUCCAUGACACUUUUUGAGGUGCUACGCGAAGAGGAAUUUGCUCCAGUGAAGAAUGCGAAUGGCUCAGCCUACGACACCCCCGAUAGCGCCAAACUGAUGCUGCUCCGACUCCACAGCAGAUGGGUAGUCGCUGCUGGCGGCUUCCUGACCCAUUCUGUGCCCUUGUACAUGACAGGCGUCGAGGUUUCUCCGCUCAGCUCCUACGCCGGAGAAAACCUGGAGGCGAUCUGCCGCGGACGGACAUUCCACGCGCCCAGUGAGAUCUCGUUCUAG